ACGGAAAGCGCGCAGGAAGCGCCAAGAACAAAAAAGGAAUUUCCGGACCCCCAGGAUGGCGGGUCGAACAUGGAUGUAAGGAUUCAAUCUGCAAGCCCCGCGAUGCGGGGUUUU
This 114-nucleotide small RNA is filed under the name Pseudomonas flexibilis. Lineage: Bacteria; Pseudomonadati; Pseudomonadota; Gammaproteobacteria; Pseudomonadales; Pseudomonadaceae. The record is from RNAcentral.